Homo sapiens (human) is the source of this 82-nucleotide long non-coding RNA. The record is from Ensembl. NCBI's taxonomy places the organism in Eukaryota, Metazoa, Chordata, Mammalia, Primates, Hominidae.
CGGGAAGCUGCUGUAAGAGCGAAACGUUGCCCCACUUGGCGGUGUCCAGGGUCAGAAGUCAGUGGUGGCUAUACUCGGAAUA